This 807-nucleotide ribosomal RNA is filed under the name uncultured bacterium. RNAcentral describes it as "bacterial SSU rRNA". It matches the Rfam family "Bacterial small subunit ribosomal RNA", at positions 61 to 870 of the family's 1533-position model. The record is from RNAcentral.
GACGGGACUAUUUUGGGAGAAGUUUUCGGAUGGAUCUCGGGAUAGUUUAGUGGCGGACGGGUGAGUAACACGUGAGCAACCUACCUUCGAGAGGGGAAUAACGGCUGGAAACGGUCGCUAAUACCGCAUAACAUACUGGAGGGACAUCUCUUUGGUAUCAAAGAUUAUAUCGCUCGGAGAUGGGCUCGCGUCCGAUUAGGUAGUUGGUGAGGUAACGGCUCACCAAGCCGACGAUCGGUAGCCGGACUGAGAGGUCGAACGGCCACAUUGGGACUGAGACACGGCCCAGACUCCUACGGGAGGCAGCAGUGGGGGAUAUUGCACAAUGGGGGAAACCCUGAUGCAGCGACGCCGCGUGUGGGAAGACGGUCCUCUGGAUUGUAAACCACUGUCCCCAGGGACGAAGAUGACGGUACCUGGGGAGGAAGCUCCGGCUAACUACGUGCCAGCAGCCGCGGUAAUACGUAGGGAGCGAGCGUUGUCCGGAAUUACUGGGUGUAAAGGGAGCGUAGGCGGGACUGCAAGUUGGGUGUCAAAUCUACCGGCUCAACCGGUAGCCGCACUCAAAACUGCAGUUCUUGAGUGAAGUAGAGGCAGGCGGAAUUCCUAGUGUAGCGGUGAAAUGCGUAGAUAUUAGGAGGAACACCAGUGGCGAAGGCGGCCUGCUGGGCUUUUACUGACGCUGAGGCUCGAAAGUGUGGGGAGCAAACAGGAUUAGAUACCCUGGUAGUCCACACCGUAAACGAUGAUCACUAGGUGUGGGGGGUCUGACCCCUUCCGUGCCGGAGUUAACACAAUAAGUGAUCC